CAAGAAGACCCUUCUUAGGGUGUGCAAAGUAUAAUACCCAGGGCUUACCAUAUUGUAAGUUCUUCAAGUGGUUGGAUGGUAAUGAAGUGAUUGAGCUACAACAACAAGAAAGAAUUGAUGAACUGUUAAAGAAAGAGAAAGAUGUAGAGAACAUACUUCAGAUGCUGGAAAAGAGAGAGAUUGAGCUACAUAAGAUAGUGGAUCGCCUCGAGAGGGUAAGCAUGGUGCUGUCCAAUAAAAGCGACGAGGUUACGCAAAAGGAGUUGGUGCUUAAUGCACAAGAAGCUAGAAGAAGGGGGUUGUGCACGCUAUUUUGGAUUUACUGUUGUUUUGUAUUUGUACAUGCAUUUUACCUUGUGUUAUAUAAGUGAAUGGGGGAUUGUUGUUAACUAGUGUUGUAUAUUUUGGUGGAAUAGAAAUCCUUGUUAUGUAACUCUGAGGUGAUGAAUGUAAUUUAAGACUGCUGGGUACUUGUUUCUGUGGCAAAGAAUAGAAGAUGUUCUUUUUGGUACAAA
Long non-coding RNA from Carya illinoinensis, 515 nucleotides. RefSeq lists it as uncharacterized. The transcript is spliced from 2 exons. Lineage: Eukaryota; Viridiplantae; Streptophyta; Magnoliopsida; Fagales; Juglandaceae. The record is from RefSeq and is a predicted model, not a curated record.